UACAGAGGGGGCAAGCGUUGUUCGGAAUUACUGGGCGUAAAGGGUUUGUAGGUGGCCAACUAAGUCAGACGUGAAAUCCCUCAGCUUAACUGGGGAACUGCGUCUGAGACUGGAUGGCUUGAGUGCAGGAGAGGAACGCGGAAUUCCAGGUGUAGCGGUGAAAUGCGUAGAUAUCUGGAGGAACACCGGUGGCGAAGGCGGCGUUCCUGGACAGUGACUGACGCUGAGACGCGAAAGCGUGGGGAGCAAACAGG
Molecule: ribosomal RNA, 254 nt
Filed under: uncultured bacterium
Lineage: Bacteria
Description: partial 16S ribosomal RNA
Rfam family: Bacterial small subunit ribosomal RNA
Source: RNAcentral